CCAGGCCUUGACAUACUCGGCAAAGCUCUAGAGAUAGAGUGGAGGUUAUCCGGGAUCAGGUGGUGCAUGGUUGUCGUCAGCUCGUGUCGUGAGAUGUUGGGUUAAGUCCCGCAACGAGCGCAACCCUUGUCUUUAGUUACCAUCAUUCAGUUGGGGACUCUAGAGAGACUGCCGGUGAUAAACCGGAGGAAGGUGGGGAUGACGUCAAAUCAUCAUGCCCCUUAUGGCCUGGGCUACAAACGUAAUACAAUGGCGUAUACAAAGGGAUGCGAAAGGGCGACCUGGAGCAAAACUCACAAAGUACGUCUCAGUUCAGAUUGGAGUCUGCAACUCGACUCCAUGAAGGCGGAAUCGCUAGUAAUCGCGGAUCAGCAUGCCGCGGUGAAUACGUUCUCGGGGUUU
This 402-nucleotide ribosomal RNA is filed under the name uncultured Erysipelothrix sp. RNAcentral's name for it is "bacterial SSU rRNA". It matches the Rfam family "Bacterial small subunit ribosomal RNA", at positions 974 to 1382 of the family's 1533-position model. Lineage: Bacteria; Bacillati; Bacillota; Erysipelotrichia; Erysipelotrichales; Erysipelotrichaceae. The record is from RNAcentral.